CUGGAGCACGAAGACGACCAGCGAGGCCCGGCCGAUCACGGCGAUCCAGUCGAGGGCGGCGCGCAGCCAUGCGCGGGUCGUCAGCGACAGCCAGAAGAGGCC
This 102-nucleotide unclassified non-coding RNA is filed under the name fungal sp. RNAcentral describes it as "partial internal transcribed spacer region". The record is from RNAcentral. Lineage: Eukaryota; Fungi.